GAAAUUAAUUCCUCCAGAGCUGAGGGAGCUGGGCGGGCGGGGAGCACGCGGGCUGGUGGAGCGAACUGCCUUGGCAGCAGCUGUUCCAUUUGGGAAACUAAUGAGACUCGAGGAAAAAUCUGCCAAGGGAUGCCAAAUACUUGUUUGCCUGUGGACCUGAUACAGCCUUGGCCAAACUGGACAGUAAUGCAAAAACGUCCAUCAUUUUUUGUUCAAUUUUGCGGCUCUGUCUUGCGUUUCAGAAGGAGAAGAAUUAAAACCUUAUCUGUCCCCAGGCUAGCCCUCCAUUCCACAGAGAUUCAGGGAAGACAGGCACCUGACAAUGUUGGGUAUUCCUAAGGCUCGUUUGUCUAGCCUCCCCACUGGCUCACUCACCACCAGGCCCUGACCUGCCCUCUUCCAAAUUGUUUGGCUCUGUGCUGCCUUGUGGAGCCAAUGCAUAUCUCUUGGCAGCUGGUGUAACAUUGAAAAGCCACAAACCCAGGGUGACCUUGACACUCCUUCCAUUGAGUAGCGGGUUCUACGCUCCCUUCCCUUGAACCUGAGCAGAACUUUAUGACUGCCUUGACCAAUAGAGUAAGGCAGAAGAAACCUUAUGUGACUUCCAAGGCCAGAUCAUUUAAAUGCCCUGCAUUUCCACCGUCCUCGCUUGGGACACUUGCUCUUGGCACCCAGACCCCAUGCUAUGAAAAUUCUAAGGUUCUCAUGGAAGGACUCGUGGAGAGGAACCAAGAUCCCCGGCUUUGCCUUAGCUGAGCUCCUACCCACAGCCAGCACCCACUUGCCAGCCAUAUGAAUGAACUGUCUUGAAAACGGAGCCUCCUAACAGCCUCCAGCCCCCAGCCCCCAAGCCAUCCCAGCUGAGGGGCCUUCUACAUCAAACUCUGCCCAACUCGCAGAACACUGAGCAAGACAGAUGAAUGCUGUUGUUUUGGGCCUCUCAGUUUCUCAGUGGUUUGCUAUGCAGCAAUAAAUAACUGAUACAGUGCUUCUCAGCCCUAAUUCUCUCCUUUCUCCUCAUUUCUCUCUCUUCCCAGGGAGAUUUUAUCAUUUCCGUAAUAACAAAACUGCCUCUUCAUCUACCCUUUCCAAUUUUUUUAUUAUGGCAUAAACCUUACGCCCCAAACUCUUCAGCACUUAAGCUUUUGAAACCAUAAAAAGCCUCGCUCUCAUAAGGCAAAAGCCUUGGCUUUCAAACUUAUUGCCAGGUGCCGGGAGUUUCCAAAGCCAGUUUUGAAACUCAAAAGCUGAGCGUUGUCUUUUUUUCCUUCUUCUUCUGUGCAUUCCUGCUGUCUCAGCCUUCUCCUGAGGGCGGUCAGGAUGGAAGGCAGCGGCCCCCGGUGGGAAGGACAGCGAUGUGAGAAAUUUCCAGGUGUGGCAGAAUGCACUGAAUAGGAUUUUAUAACAUCCUCACGUUAUUUUUUACCAAAGCAGAUGCAAAUCUCCUGUGUGCAAGACUAUCCCGUUCCUUUAAUGCCCUUAAAUCAAC
Molecule: long non-coding RNA, 1489 nt
Filed under: Equus asinus (donkey)
Lineage: Eukaryota; Metazoa; Chordata; Mammalia; Perissodactyla; Equidae
Description: lncRNA (ENSEASG00005038505.1)
Source: RNAcentral